RNAcentral lists this ribosomal RNA (320 nucleotides) under uncultured bacterium. RNAcentral's name for it is "bacterial SSU rRNA". It matches the Rfam family "Bacterial small subunit ribosomal RNA", at positions 470 to 789 of the family's 1533-position model. The record is from RNAcentral.
UGACGGUACCUGACUAAGAAGCCCCGGCUAACUACGUGCCAGCAGCCGCGGUAAUACGUAGGGGGCAAGCGUUAUCCGGAUUUACUGGGUGUAAAGGGAGCGUAGACGGCGAUGCAAGUCUGAUGUGAAAGCCCGGGGCUCAACCCCGGCACUGCAUUGGAAACUGUGUUGCUAGAGUGCAGGAGAGGUAAGUGGAAUUCCUAGUGUAGCGGUGAAAUGCGUAGAUAUUAGGAGGAACACCAGUGGCGAAGGCGGCUUACUGGACUGUAACUGACGUUGAGGCUCGAAAGCGUGGGGAGCAAACAGGAUUAGAUACCCUG